UGGUGUAGCUCAAUCGGUAGAGCAGCUGAUUUGUAAUCAGCAGGUUACAGGUUCAAGUCCUGCCACC
Molecule: transfer RNA, 67 nt
Filed under: human gut metagenome
Rfam family: tRNA
About the family: Transfer RNA (tRNA) molecules are approximately 80 nucleotides in length. Their secondary structure includes four short double-helical elements and three loops (D, anti-codon, and T loops).
Source: RNAcentral